Molecule: long non-coding RNA, 3256 nt
Filed under: Homo sapiens (human)
Lineage: Eukaryota; Metazoa; Chordata; Mammalia; Primates; Hominidae
Description: HSALNT0070730
Source: RNAcentral
GCCUUGUUUUGUUGCUGAUGCUCGUAAUGCUGGUGAUGAGGUGGAGGGAGAAGGCGUAGAGAGGUAAACAGGUGGCAAAGCUUAUGUGCCAUUCUAUGGCUUUGAUUUUUUUUCACUCAGAGCUCUGGGGAGUCAUUAAAGCUUUCUGAGCUGGAGAAUGGCAUAAUCAGAUUUGAAUUUGUAAGAGCUCAUUCUGGCAGUGGUGUAGAAAGGGCUAGACUGUAGACAGGGAGAUUGGUUGGAAAGCAAUUUAAUGAAUUGAAGCCAUUGGGAAGGAAAAUUAAAGGAAAGGGUGAGGUUGCAGAAAUAUUCAGGCCUUUUUUAUUUUUAAUUUUUAUGGAUACAUAAUAGUUGUACAAUUUUAAAAUAUAAAAUAAAUAUAUUUCUAUAGCAAAAAAGGAGAAAUAUUUAGUUCUAAAGAUUAUUUUAUUUUUCCAAAGCGGAUUCUAAAAAGACUUGCUUCUUUACGGCCAUCACCUACAGGGAGGAAUUUUUUCUUCUCCUCAUCAAGUGGUCUACAGGAACUCACAGCAAGGAAAUAAUAUUCAGAGAUAUGAAUCACGUGCACGGUGGUUCAUGCCUGUGAUCCUAGUGCUUUGGAAGGAGGAAAGAUUGCUUGACACCAAGAGUUGAGAUCACUUUGAACAACAUAGCAGAACUUUGUCUCUACCAAAAUGUACUUUUUCCAUAUCUGAGUUUGGUAGCAUGCACCUGUAAUAAUCUUGGCUACUUGGCAGACUGAGUACACACACCAGAGAACGACCAUGUGAGCACACAGGAAGAUGACCACCUUUUGCAAGCCAAAAAGAAAGCGCUCACAAGCAACCAAAUAGGCCAGCACCCUGAUUUUGGACUUCCCAGCUUCAAGAAGUGAGAGUAAUAAGUUUGUAUUCUUUAAGUCAUCCAGGUUACAAGCAGACUAAAGCAGCUUCUUCCACUUGUUCAAAAUUCUACAUUUUAAAUUUUUAUAAUGUGUUUUGGUUGUUUUAAGUACAACUUUGCAGUAUUUCUUAUCUUUGGUGGCAUUUUCAGAAUACCAAAUAAAAGCAGGUUGAACAAUAAAGACAUUUAUUUUCUCAGUAAAAAAAGUGACAAGUUCAGCAGUGUCAGUUCCAAUCUUCAUCCAGUGGCUCAGCGACAUAAUCAAGGACUGUCUCUUCUCAUUUUUCCCUGUCCACUGUCCUCAGAAGAUUGUAGAACCUCAUAAUUGAAAGACGGCCAUUGCACUUUCUAUGAUCAAAAGUUCUUAUCAGAUAUCACUGAAAGCAGAAAGGAUAAGAUCAGAAGGAAAAAUUGUCUUUGGUGGUGGUAAAUUAAAUAACCAAGAGACCAUUAGUCCGACUCUGUCUCCAUACUUUGAGUUCACACAUAACAAACCACAACCUAACAUAGUAUGUAAACCAAAACUGAACUUAGAAGUACAUUUUUUUGGUAACCAAUAAUCAGGUUUCAUCCAGUCACAAAUAGCACAGUUUCAGCCAGUCACAGGCAGCCAACUAAUCAAACCAUGUUGAAAUAAGGAAAAUACCUCAUCAUAGCAUACCCAAAUAAGACAGAUGCUUAGCUUUCCUGCUAAUCAGGAAACUUUCCUAUUUUGCUUCCAUGUUCAGCCUAUAAAAGCUUGCUGCUCUCACUGCUAGGUGAGCUCUCUGAACUUCUUCUGGCUCUGAGUGCUGCCCAAUUCAUGAAUUAUUAUUUUUCACUCAAAUAAACUCUGUAAAAUUUAAUUUUUCUGAAGUUCUUUUUUUUGGACACUGGUUAUAAAUUGAGUCACAUCCCCACCUAAAUAAGACAAUUAUUGAUGAAUGGGAAUGGAAUUACCAUGAUUGUUUAACUAAUAAUUAUGUAUACCCUAGGUCUUGGUCCACUGCCAAAAAUAGUGUUCUAUUGAUUAAGAACAAAAUCGAGGAUCAGCCUAUAUCAUUAUUUGAAGUGUAAUCUAAUAUGAUGUCACAUUAUCAAAUCUCCUUCACUGUCAAGAUGGUUGCCAACUCAAUAAUAUCAGCACUUCAACAAAUAUGACUUAGACUCAGAUGGGAGUUAAAGCCAAGGGAGGUUUUUCAUAUGGUUGAAUAAUGGAAAUUUUGUGAGAAUGCUCCAAACAUCUAGUUUCUGUUCCCACCAAUCUGACUGGGGAACAGGCAUCCUGCAGUGGCUGUAAUCCAGAUCCUCCCCUUUAGGAUUGAGGCACAUUCCCCAGCUGCCAGGAAUGUUUGUUCAAAAUGGUAAUUAUAUGGCACCAUAUUUCUUCUCAUAGUUUCUCUGUAAAUUUCCUCAUUUCUGAAUUAUUAAAAAAUUAAGGUCCUGUUCUUGCUACCAUAUCAGAGUAAAACAAAUAAAUAUUUUUCUGUUGGCAAGAGGUAACUUUUCUAAAACAAAAAUAGUUAAUGUUCCAUCCUGGCCAGCAUGGUGAAACCCUGUCUCUACUAAAAAUACAAAAAUUAGUGUGGCAUGGUGGUGUUCACCUGUGGUGCUAGCUACUCAGGAGGCUGAGGCAGGAGAAUCUCUUGAACCUGGGAGGCGGAGGUUGCAGUGAGCCGAGAUCGUGCCACUGUACUCCAGCCUGACAACAAAGCGAGAUUCUGUCAAAAAAAAAAUAGUUAAUAUCUUAGGUAGUUUGGUUUUAUUAUGUAAACUGUCACCCCAACAAUCAUGUCUUUUAUAUCUAUAAAUGCUUCAUGGAAAUCAGAGACAGAUGGCUAAGGUCUAAAUAUGGCAAUAUCUAGCAUACGAAAACAGCCAUGGAAGAUGAGUUAGGAAGAAUAAUGGUCCUUCAAAUACAUCCACAUUCUUAUAUGCUGAGCCUGAUAUAAAAGAUUAUAUUUAUAUGAUAUUUAUAUGUUAUAUAAUUAACAAAUGUUUACGAUGUUACAAAACAUAAUAACAUUUAUUCUGUCUGCUACCUUAAUCACUCUUUACUUUCCAUGGCAAAGAAUGAUUAACGUAGCAGAUAGAAUAAAUGUUGCUAAAUUAGCUGCCCUUAAAAUUGAUUGUCUGGGCAGACUUGAUGCGAUGACAAUGCUCAUUUAAAGUGGAAAAAGGAGGCUGAGUAGGACAUCAUAGUGAUACAAUAUGAAAAGAUCUCAACCCUCUUUAUCCGGCUUUGAAGAUGGAGAAAGGGAACAAAGAGCCAAGGAAGGUGGGUUGUCUCUAGAAGCUGAAAACUGCAAGAAACUGUCUCUUCUCUGGAGCCUCCAGAAAAGAAUGCAGCCCUGCCUACACCUUUAUUUCAGCCCUGUGAGACAUUUGACCCCCA